AACGAACGCUGGCGGCAUGCUUAACACAUGCAAGUCGAACGUCUUAUAUUUAGCUUGCUAGAUAUAGGAAGUGGCGCACGGGUGAGUAACAUGUGGGAACCUACCUUUUAGUAUGGGAUAACAUUUGGAAACGAAUGCUAAUACCGUAUACGUCUUACCGAUUGGGUUUGGUAAGGGAAAGAUUUAUCGCUAAAAGAUGGGCCCGCACUAGAUUAGCUAGUUGGUAAGGUAAUGGCUUACCAAGGCUACGAUCUAUAGCUGGUCUGAGAGGAUGAUCAGCCACACUGGGACUGAGAACGGCCCAG
This 305-nucleotide ribosomal RNA is filed under the name uncultured bacterium. RNAcentral's name for it is "bacterial SSU rRNA". It matches the Rfam family "Bacterial small subunit ribosomal RNA", at positions 29 to 334 of the family's 1533-position model. The record is from RNAcentral.